UGGGGAAUAUUGGACAAUGGGCGCAAGCCUGAUCCAGCCAUGCCGCGUGAGUGAUGAAGGCCCUAGGGUUGUAAAGCUCUUUCACCGGUGAAGAUAAUGACGGUAACCGGAGAAGAAGCCCCGGCUAACUUCGUGCCAGCAGCCGCGGUAAUACGAAGGGGGCUAGCGUUGUUCGGAUUUACUGGGCGUAAAGCGCACGUAGGCGGACUAUUAAGUCAGGGGUGAAAUCCCGGGGCUCAACCCCGGAACUGCCUUUGAUACUGGUAGUCUUGAGUUCGAGGGAGGUGAGUGGAAUUCCGAGUGUAGAGGUGAAAUUCGUAGAUAUUCGGAGGAACACCAGUGGCGAAGGCGGCUCACUGGCUCGAUACUGACGCUGAGGUGCGAAGGCGUGGGGAGCAAACAGG
RNAcentral lists this ribosomal RNA (404 nucleotides) under Actinomycetes bacterium. RNAcentral's name for it is "Actinobacteria bacterium partial 16S ribosomal RNA". It matches the Rfam family "Bacterial small subunit ribosomal RNA", at positions 355 to 776 of the family's 1533-position model. Lineage: Bacteria; Bacillati; Actinomycetota; Actinomycetes. The record is from RNAcentral.